UGCAAGUCGAACGGUGAAGGAGGAGCUUGCUCCUUUGGAUCAGUGGCGAACGGGUGAGUAACACGUGAGUAACCUGCCCCAGACUCUGGGAUAAGCACUGGAAACGGUGUCUAAUACCGGAUACGAGCUUCAGCCGCAUGGCUAGGAGCUGGAAAGAAUUUCGGUCUGGGAUGGACUCGCGGCCUAUCAGCUAGUUGGUGAGGUAAUGGCUCACCAAGGCGACGACGGGUAGCCGGCCUGAGAGGGUGACCGGCCACACUGGGACUGAGACACGGCCCAGACUCCUACGGGAGGCAGCAGUGGGGAAUAUUGCACAAUGGGCGCAAGCCUGAUGCAGCAACGCCGCGUGAGGGACGACGGCCUUCGGGUUGUAAACCUCUUUUAGUAGGGAAGAAGCGAAAGUGACGGUACCUGCAGAAAAAGCACCGGCUAACUACGUGCCAGCAGCCGCGGUAAUACGUAGGGUGCAAGCGUUAUCCGGAAUUAUUGGGCGUAAAGAGCUCGUAGGCGGUUUGUCGCGUCUGCUGUGAAAACUGGAGGCUCAACCUCCAGCCUGCAGUGGGUACGGGCAGACUAGAGUGCGGUAGGGGAGAUUGGAAUUCCUGGUGUAGCGGUGGAAUGCGCAGAUAUCAGGAGGAACACCGAUGGCGAAGGCAGAUCUCUGGGCCGUAACUGACGCUGAGGAGCGAAAGCAUGGGGAGCGAACAGGAUUAGAUACCCUGGUAGUCCAUGCCGUAAACGUUGGGAACUAGAUGUAGGGACCAUUCCACGGUUUCUGUGUCGCAGCUAACGCAUUAAGUUCCCCGCCUGGGGAGUACGGCCGCAAGGCUAAAACUCAAAGGAAUUGACGG
Molecule: ribosomal RNA, 851 nt
Filed under: Frigoribacterium sp. 1056H120
Lineage: Bacteria; Bacillati; Actinomycetota; Actinomycetes; Micrococcales; Microbacteriaceae
Description: bacterial SSU rRNA
Rfam family: Bacterial small subunit ribosomal RNA
Source: RNAcentral